AAGCAGCACUAACCGGGCGAGAGGGUGCAGGAGAGCUCAGUUUUACUUUUGGUUUAGUCGCUAAUGUGUGGGCUCUGGGCUUGGCGCCUCACUACCACGUUUCUUCGCUGAAUAAAGGAGUUGAAUGCCAGGGGGAACAUUGUGGUGGAGAGAAAGUGACCUUCAGAGUCUCCCCACUUCACUUUCAGAGUCUUUCCCUCUGUGAAAAAUGAAUAUCACACGUGUCUUCAGGAUCCACACAACUAUGAGAGCAGAAGACUUCUCCUCAGCUGGAACCAAAGGUAG
This is a non-coding RNA of Vicugna pacos (alpaca), 285 nucleotides long. Lineage: Eukaryota; Metazoa; Chordata; Mammalia; Artiodactyla; Camelidae. The record is from RefSeq and is a predicted model, not a curated record.